GAUGAACGCUAGCGGCAGGCCUAAUACAUGCAAGUCGAACGAUAGUGAGAAGCUUGCUUCUCACGAAAGUGGCGCACGGGUGCGUAACGCGUAUGCAACCUACCUUAAUCAGGGGGAUAGCCCGAAGAAAUUCGGAUUAACACCGCAUAAAAUCACAGUAUAGCAUUAUACAAUGAUCAAAUAUUUAUAGGAUUAAGAUGGGCAUGCGUGACAUUAGUUAUUUGGCGGGGUAACGGCCCACCAAGACCACGAUGUCUAUGGGAUCUGAGAGGAUGACCCCCCACACUGGUACUGAGACACGGACCAGACGCGUACGGGAGGCAGCAGUAAGGAAGAUUGGUCAAUGGAGGCAACUCUGAACCAGCCAUGCCGCGUGCAGGAAGCCAGCCCUCUGGGUCGUAAACUGCUUUUAUUCGGGAAUAAACCUAUCUACCUGCAGAUAGCUGAAUGUACCGAAGGAAUAAGGAUCGGCUAACUCCGUGCCAGCCGCCGCAGUAA
Molecule: ribosomal RNA, 498 nt
Filed under: uncultured bacterium
Lineage: Bacteria
Description: partial 16S ribosomal RNA
Rfam family: Bacterial small subunit ribosomal RNA
Source: RNAcentral